UCAUACGCCCAAGAUGGAGUCCAACCUAGACUGUUCGGAAAAUGUUCCUGACGCUUCCACAUGUAUAUCUUUUCAUAACAACAUUUAUGUAGGUAAGAAAAAACACAUAAUGGAAUAUCGUAAUCAUGAAAUAUCCUCACUAGUUCAAUACCAAUUAUCCUACAGAUUCUUGUAGGGCGAGUCCUACAAGAAUCUGUAAGCAAGAAACGUUUCACAGUAUUUAAACAAAAGAACAAAGCUAUAGCUAUCAAUACAAAUACGUCGAAGAUCACAAGACGGCAUUACCCGCAAGUGUGACGUAAUGAGUGCUCGGCGACAACAUACCUUUGUCCUGUAGAGCAGGCGGCUCUCAGCAACGCGGUCAUACUGCGGAGACGGUCUUCACCUUCUGAAGCCUGCGACUGUGGUAAAUCGAGGUCGUCUCGAGGAAGUGCCGCGCUUCAAUACAAUAUUGGUCAUGAUUUGACUUUUUCAUGGAACAGUGAAGAGUUUAAAGUAUCUACGAACGCAGAUAAACAACAAGCCAUUCAAAAUCAAUGUUAAUACGGUGGACAUCAAAUGUUGGCAAUCAAUGAAGGAUUUCCUCUUACAUUUCCCUAGUCCCUACACUUCAAUUCUACAAGACACCUAUGUGUUUUACAUUUCUUUGUAGUAACAUUAGUGCAUGAAGUUUUCUAAAAAAAUAUCAAGUCAUGUAAUAUUACAAAACAAAGAACUAAUAACUAACGUAAUUAAAGAUGCCAAACUGAAUGCUACAACAAGUCCAGUCGGAGCUUGUUGAAGUAAUCUCGUGUAACAAUAUCUGCGCCCUUACGUCAGCGGUCACAAAGCAGUAUUGUUAUCUGAUUGGAGAGGAUCGCUCUCGCCUCUCCUCUGAAGUUUUCUCAUUUAUUUCCAUAUUAUUUUGUUUGGAGGUCGCGUCCCUUUGAGUCUCUCCGCGCUCGGCUAACGAAGCCGCCGCCGCCACAUCAAACGACAACUCUCGCUAUUUUCAUUGAAAUGAGGACUUUUCUUUGAAAAUUGGACGCCGUUAUUAUGUCGUUGGAUAAUUUAUGUGCUUUUUAUGUACACUUCGAGAAAUAAAGUAAAUAACUAGACAGCAGCAUGUUGCUUGCACCGCUGCUCAGGAACACUUGGAUGUGCACAUGUGCGUUGAUGUCUUUUGUUCUGUCUGAAACAAUGGCAGUCGACUAAUGAACUGCUACACACAUUCAACAAGAGGUUACCAGCAAACAUGACUUGUUCUUUAUUAUUGAUCUAUGGCAGCCCCCGCCCAGUGCCAGCAAGUCGUCAUCACGAUAAUGAGCACAGCAAUCACCGCCUCACACACACACACACACACGUCAUCUUGUUAUGUGACAGCGCGUUAUGUGCUGAUUACUGCGGAGAAGCCUGCCGUAAUGACGCCGUAAUGCCGAGACCAACAAAUGUACUGGAACUAUCACAUAAGGCUGUUUGUUAGUCUGCCUUACAUGAGACUCAUGUGUUAUGUGAACUUUAAUUACAGCUUGCGUGGUAUAAUGAAGUGGUGCUCGAAAUGCGGCGAUAUAAUAAAAGUUGCUGGAAAGACGAGUAUGGAAGCCACACAUGUAUUAUGAAAGAGGACACUACGCACGUUUGUAAGUAUGUUGCUCGUCAU
Trichoplusia ni (cabbage looper) is the source of this 1639-nucleotide long non-coding RNA. RefSeq lists it as uncharacterized. The transcript is spliced from 3 exons. The record is from RefSeq and is a predicted model, not a curated record. NCBI's taxonomy places the organism in Eukaryota, Metazoa, Arthropoda, Insecta, Lepidoptera, Noctuidae.